CAGCCGCCACGGUAAUACGAAGGGGGCUAGCGUUGUUCGGAAUUACUGGGCGUAAAGCGCACGUAGGCGGAUCGAUCAGUCAGGGGUGAAAUCCCAGGGCUCAACCCUGGAACUGCCUUUGAUACUGUCGAUCUGGAGUAUGGAAGAGGUGAGUGGAAUUCCGAGUGUAGAGGUGAAAUUCGUAGAUAUUCGGAGGAACACCAGUGGCGAAGGCGGCUCACUGGUCCAUUACUGACGCUGAGGUGCGAAAGCGUGGGGAGCAAACAGGAUUAGAUACCCCAGUAGUCCUGUCUCUUAUACA
RNAcentral lists this ribosomal RNA (301 nucleotides) under uncultured bacterium. Its description in RNAcentral is "partial 16S ribosomal RNA". It matches the Rfam family "Bacterial small subunit ribosomal RNA", at positions 509 to 809 of the family's 1533-position model. The record is from RNAcentral.